RNAcentral lists this ribosomal RNA (372 nucleotides) under uncultured eukaryote. RNAcentral describes it as "partial 18S ribosomal RNA". It matches the Rfam family "Eukaryotic small subunit ribosomal RNA", at positions 592 to 976 of the family's 1831-position model. The record is from RNAcentral.
CAAUAGCGUAUAUUAAAGUUGUUGCAGUUAAAAAGCUCGUAGUUGAAUUUCUGUCAGGAGCGACCGGGCCUUUGGAUGAACUUCCAUUGUUUUUUGCUCUGUUUGUCGUCUCUAGACAUCCUGAAAUGUCUUUUUACAAAUAUUUCUCUUUUACUGUUAGCAAAAUAGAGUGUUCCAAGCAAAGCGUAGUUUUGAAUACAUUAGAAUGGAAUAAUAAGAUAGGACUUUGGUGCUAUUUUGUUGGUUUGCACACCAAGGUAAUGAUUAAUAGGGACAGUUGGGGGUAUUCGUAUUUAAUUGUCAGAGGUGAAAUUCUUGGAUUUAUGAAAGACGAACUACUGCGAAAGCAUUUACCAAGGAUGUUUUCAUUAA